UCACCUUUUCCUCUCCUCGCUCCAGUCCUCCCCGGCGAGAGAGAGAGAGAAUGGCGUCGCGGUUCCUGACCUGAUCCAAAGCCCUAGCGCAAGCCCUCGCGCGCGCCGAAGCGGCCUCUUCGUCGCCGCUCGCCAGCGCCCGGUCUCGCAGAGCGCUCUCUCCACUCUUCCCUAGGACCCGGUCGCCGCUGUCGCCGGCCCUUCGCCGCGGCAACCGUCGGUCCGCUCCCCUCUCGACCUCUCCAAGAUUCUGGGGUAUGAGCGAAUAUCACGACUCAGUGGUGCGCAAUUACCUCGUUGGUUUUCUACUGGAGCACGAGCAUCCAAUAGAUCUUCUGUGCAGCAGGUGCAGGAAGGCGCCUCCGCAAAGGUGACAGCAUUCAGCCCAUUGGAAGCAAGUAUCGCCAAACCCAGAAGCGAUCCAUUGAGAACUGAAAGCUUGAAAGCGAGGGCAAACGAGGUAGUUACAAGUACUACAUAUUACAUGAUCCCGCCUAUCCUUCUCGUAUCAAGGAAUGGUGUCAGAACUUCUGUUAUAGUCAUGUCAGUGUUCCAUCAAAUCUACAUGUUCCACAAGGAGAUCCUUUGCCCUCAAAAAACAAGGAGAUCCUUCUGGACUAUGUCCACAAUGAGGUUACCAGAAAGUGGGCCUUGAUAUACAUCAAGAUUCUCCUGCUGAUCAUGGCUAAGGACACAUUGGUCUCCUUCGGUUCCUAUGGGCUUUGAUAUACUUAAAGAUUCUCCUGCUGAUCAUAGCUGAGAAGACAUUGAGUCUACUUCAGAAGAAGUUGUUCAAACAAACAGGGCGUUUGCUAUGGUAGUUUCUCCAUAGAUGCAUUAAGCGCCGGAUAUAAUGAAAAACUAAUCUGCAACUGCCGGUUCUUCUGUUACUAUCUCUUUGCUGGCCUUUUUUAUGCUUGUUACUUGGAUUGUCUAGUGUCGUGCUGAAGAACUUUCCACCGAGUAAUCCCCCGUAAACCGAGUGAUGUUAAUAUGGUGACAAGUUUAUGGUAGUUUUGUAAUAAUGGUAAAUAUCGACAGUGAUUUCCGUUAAGUAAUUGCGUGGCUUGCCAAGUUA
Molecule: long non-coding RNA, 1078 nt
Organism: Setaria italica (foxtail millet)
Lineage: Eukaryota; Viridiplantae; Streptophyta; Magnoliopsida; Poales; Poaceae
Exons: 3
Source: RefSeq, a predicted model, not a curated record